UUAAGCGACUAAGCGUACACGGUGGAUGCCCUGGCAGUCAGAGGCGAUGAAGGACGUGCUAAUCUGCGAAAAGCGUCGGUAAGGUGAUAUGAACCGUUAUAACCGGCGAUGUCCGAAUGGGGAAACCCAGUGUGAUUCGUCACACUAUCGUUAACUGAAUACAUAGGUUAACGAGGCGAACCGGGGGAACUGAAACAUCUAAGUACCCCGAGGAAAAGAAAUCAACCGAGAUUCCCCCAGUAGCGGCGAGCGAACGGGGAGCAGCCCAGAGUCUGAAUCAGCUUGUGUGUUAGUGGAACGGUCUGGAAAGUCCGACGGUACAGGGUGAUAGUCCCGUACACCAAAAUGCACAGGUUGUGAACUCGAAGAGUAGGGCGGGACACGUGGUAUCCUGUCUGAAUAUGGGGGGACCAUCCUCCAAGGCUAAAUACUCCUGACUGACCGAUAGUGAACCAGUACCGUGAGGGAAAGGCGAAAAGAACCCCGGCGAGGGGAGUGAAAAAGAACCUGAAACCGUGUACGUACAAGCAGUGGGAGCACCUUCGGGUGUGACUGCGUACCUUUUGUAUAAUGGGUCAGCGACUUAUAUUCUGUAGCAAGGUUAACCGUAUAGGGGAGCCGCAGGGAAACCGAGUCUUAACUGGGCGUUAAGUUGCAGGGUAUAGACCCGAAACCCGGUGAUCUAGCCAUGGGCAGGUUGAAGGUUGGGUAACACUAACUGGAGGACCGAACCGACUAAUGUUGAAAAAUUAGCGGAUGACUUGUGGCUGGGGGUGAAAGGCCAAUCAAACCGGGAGAUAGCUGGUUCUCCCCGAAAGCUAUUUAGGUAGCGCCUCGUGAACUCAUCUUCGGGGGUAGAGCACUGUUUCGGCUAGGGGGUCAUCCCGACUUACCAACCCGAUGCAAACUACGAAUACCGAAGAAUGUUAUCACGGGAGACACACGGCGGGUGCUAACGUCCGUCGUGAAGAGGGAAACAACCCAGACCGCCAGCUAAGGUCCCAAAGUCAUGGUUAAGUGGGAAACGAUGUGGGAAGGCACAGACAGCCAGGAUGUUGGCUUAGAAGCAGCCAUCAUUUAAAGAAAGCGUAAUAGCUCACUGGUCGAGUCGGCCUGCGCGGAAGAUGUAACGGGGCUAAACCAUGCACCGAAGCUGCGGCAGCGACACUAUGUGUUGUUGGGUAGGGGAGCGUUCUGUAAGCCUGCGAAGGUGGCCUGUGAGGGUUGCUGGAGGUAUCAGAAGUGCGAAUGCUGACAUAAGUAACGAUAAAGCGGGUGAAAAGCCCGCUCGCCGGAAGACCAAGGGUUCCUGUCCAACGUUAAUCGGGGCAGGGUGAGUCGACCCCUAAGGCGAGGCCGAAAGGCGUAGUCGAUGGGAAACAGGUUAAUAUUCCUGUACUUGGUGUUACUGCGAAGGGGGGACGGAGAAGGCUAUGUUAGCCGGGCGACGGUUGUCCCGGUUUAAGCAUGUAGGCUGGUUGUCCAGGCAAAUCCGGAUAAUCAAGGCUGAGGUGUGAUGACGAGGCACUACGGUGCUGAAGUAACAAAUGCCCUGCUUCCAGGAAAAGCCUCUAAGCAUCAGGUAACAUUAAAUCGUACCCCAAACCGACACAGGUGGUCAGGUAGAGAAUACCAAGGCGCUUGAGAGAACUCGGGUGAAGGAACUAGGCAAAAUGGUGCCGUAACUUCGGGAGAAGGCACGCUGGUGUGUAGGUGAAGUCCCUGCGGAUGGAGCUGAGACCAGUCGAAGAUACCAGCUGGCUGCAACUGUUUAUUAAAAACACAGCACUGUGCAAACACGAAAGUGGACGUAUACGGUGUGACGCCUGCCCGGUGCCGGAAGGUUAAUUGAUGGGGUUAUCCGUAAGGAGAAGCUCUUGAUCGAAGCCCCGGUAAACGGCGGCCGUAACUAUAACGGUCCUAAGGUAGCGAAAUUCCUUGUCGGGUAAGUUCCGACCUGCACGAAUGGCGUAAUGAUGGCCAGGCUGUCUCCACCCGAGACUCAGUGAAAUUGAACUCGCUGUGAAGAUGCAGUGUACCCGCGGCAAGACGGAAAGACCCCGUGAACCUUUACUAUAGCUUGACACUGAACAUUGAGCCUUGAUGUGUAGGAUAGGUGGGAGGCUUUGAAGCGUGGACGCCAGUCUGCGUGGAGCCAACCUUGAAAUACCACCCUUUAAUGUUUGAUGUUCUACACGUGUGGCCCCUGACCGGGGGUUGCGGACAGUGUCUGGUGGGUAGUUUGACUGGGGCGGUCUCCUCCCAAAGCGUAACGGAGGAGCACGAAGGUUAGCUAAUCCUGGUCGGACAUCAGGAGGUUAGUGCAAUGGCAUAAGCUAGCUUGACUGCGAGCGUGACGGCGCGAGCAGGUGCGAAAGCAGGUCAUACGUGAUCCGGUGGUUCUGAAUGGAAGGGCCAUCGCUCAACGGAUAAAAGGUACUCCGGGGAUAACAGGCUGAUACCGCCCAAGAGUUCAUAUCGACGGCGGUGUUUGGCACCUCGAUGUCGGCUCAUCACAUCCUGGGGCCUGAAGUAGGUCCCAAGGGUAUGGCUGUUCGCCAUUUAAAGUGGUACGCGAGCUGGGUUUAGAACGUCGUGAGACAGUUCGGUCCCUAUCUGCCGUGGGCGCUGGAGAAUUGAGGGGGGCUGCUCCUAGUACGAGAGGACCGGAGUGGACGCAUCACUGGUGUUCGGGUUGUCAUGCCAAUGGCACUGCCCGGUAGCUAAAUGCGGAAGAGAUAAGUGCUGAAAGCAUCUAAGCACGAAACUUGCCCCGAGAUGAGUUCUCCCUGAGACUUUAAGUCUCCUGAAGGAACGUUGAAGACGACGACGUUGAUAGGCCGGGUGUGUAAGCGCAGCGAUGCGUUGAGCUAACCGGUACUAAUGAACCGUGAGGCUUAACCUU
This 2905-nucleotide ribosomal RNA is filed under the name Klebsiella pneumoniae. RNAcentral describes it as "bacterial LSU rRNA". It matches the Rfam family "Bacterial large subunit ribosomal RNA". Lineage: Bacteria; Pseudomonadati; Pseudomonadota; Gammaproteobacteria; Enterobacterales; Enterobacteriaceae. The record is from RNAcentral.